This 365-nucleotide ribosomal RNA is filed under the name uncultured bacterium. RNAcentral describes it as "bacterial SSU rRNA". It matches the Rfam family "Bacterial small subunit ribosomal RNA", at positions 362 to 759 of the family's 1533-position model. The record is from RNAcentral.
UAUUGGACAAUGGGCGCAAGCCUGAUCCAGCCAUGCCGCGUGGAUGAUGAAGGCCCUAGGGUUGUAAAGUCCUUUCGGCGGGGAAGAUAAUGACGGUACCCGCAGAAGAAGCCCCGGCUAACUUCGUGCCAGCAGCCGCGGUAAUACGAAGGGGGCUAGCGUUGCUCGGAAUCACUGGGCGUAAAGCGCACGUAGGCGACUCUUAAGUCGGUGGUGAGAUCCUGAGCUCAACUCCAGGACUGCCUUCGAUACUGAGGGUCUCAGUCCGGAGGGGUGAGGUGAACUGCGAGUGAGAGGUAAAUUCGAGUUUCGCAAGACACCAGUGGCAAGGCGGCUACUGGCCCGGUCUGCGCUGAGUCAGAGAG